RNAcentral lists this ribosomal RNA (373 nucleotides) under uncultured bacterium. RNAcentral describes it as "bacterial SSU rRNA". It matches the Rfam family "Bacterial small subunit ribosomal RNA", at positions 28 to 402 of the family's 1533-position model. The record is from RNAcentral.
GACGAACGCUGGCGGCGUGCUUAACACAUGCAAGUCGAGCGGUAAGGCCCUUUCGGGGGUACACGAGCGGCGAACGGGUGAGUAACACGUGGGUGACCUGCCUCUAGCUCUGGGAUAAGCCCGGGAAACUGGGUCUAAUACUGGAUAUGACUCCAUGACGCAUGUUGUGGGGUGGAAAGCCUUGUGCGGCUAGAGAUGGGCCCGCGGCCUAUCAGCUUGUUGGUGGGGNGAUGGCCUACCAAGGCGACGACGGGUAGCCGGCCUGAGAGGGCGACCGGCCACACUGGGACUGAGACACGGCCCAGACUCCUACGGGAGGCAGCAGUGGGGAAUCUUGCGCAAUGGGCGAAAGCCUGACGCAGCGACGCCGCGU